UCGGGAAUUUUGGGCAAUGGGCGAAAGCCUGACCCAGCAACGCCGCGUGAGGGGUGAAGUAUUUCGGUAUGUAAACCUCGAAAGAACGGGAAGAAUAAAUGACGGUACCAUUUAUAAGCUCCGGCUAACUACGUGCCAGCAGCCGCGGUAAUACGUAGGGAGCAAGCGUUGUUCGGAUUUACUGGGCGUAAAGGGCGCGUAGGCGGCGCGGUAAGUCACUUGUGAAAUCUCUGAGCUUAACUCAGAACGGCCAAGUGAUACUGCUGUGCUAGAGUGCGGAAGAGGCAACCGGAAUUCUUGGUGUAGCGGUGAAAUGCGUAGAUAUCAAGAGGAACACCUGAGGCGAAGGCGGGUUGCUGGGCCGACACUGACGCUGAUGCGCGAAAGCCAGGGGAGCAAACG
RNAcentral lists this ribosomal RNA (402 nucleotides) under uncultured bacterium. RNAcentral's name for it is "bacterial SSU rRNA". It matches the Rfam family "Bacterial small subunit ribosomal RNA", at positions 355 to 774 of the family's 1533-position model. The record is from RNAcentral.